UGGGGAAUAUUGCACAAUGGAGGGAACUCUGAUGCAGCGACGCCGCGUGAACGAAGAAGGCUCUCGCGUCGUAAAGUUCUCUUAUAUGUGAAGAUAAUGACGGUACCAUAAGAAAAAGCCCCGGCUAACUACGUGCCAGCAGCCGCGGUAAUACGUAGGGGGCUAGCGUUGUCCGGAAUCACUGGGCGUAAAGGGUUCGCAGGCGGAAAUGCAAGUCAGGUGUAAAAGGCAGUAGCUUAACUACUGUAAGCAUUUGAAACUGCAUAUCUUGAGAAGAGUAGAGGUAAGUGGAAUUUUUAGUGUAGCGGUGAAAUGCGUAGAUAUUAAAAAAAAUACCGGUGGCGAAGGCAACUUACUGGGCUCAUUCUGACGCUGAGGAACGAAAGCGUGGGUAGCAAACAGG
RNAcentral lists this ribosomal RNA (403 nucleotides) under Fusobacteriota bacterium. Its description in RNAcentral is "Fusobacteria bacterium partial 16S ribosomal RNA". It matches the Rfam family "Bacterial small subunit ribosomal RNA", at positions 355 to 776 of the family's 1533-position model. Lineage: Bacteria; Fusobacteriati; Fusobacteriota. The record is from RNAcentral.